UAACAAACUGACAGCUGGAACAUUUCACUUGGAGGAGGGGGGAGUUUCAUAAAAGGAUGCAAUAAUUGCAGGCCCAGCCCGGAUCACGUACUCCACCAUUCAUUCCAAUUACUUGCUCACCCCAUGCAAAGUUGAAGUCAAACAAAGGCCAGCAACAGGGUGUUGGAGGCAACAUCAUUGUGGAGUAGUUCACCCACUUGAGGCACAGGAUCAUUGUGGGAUCUGGACCACAAGGCUUGUCCAAAACGUUGGUCAGAUCUUCUGAAAAGGCAGUACCACUGUUGGAUUGAUGUUCUGCUCCUCAUUGACUGCAUGCCAAUGUGUCACUGCAUUUCUGAAAAUGUCCUGUGAUCCCAGUCUCUUCAUAAGUGCAAGCCUCAGGUAGGCCAAGAUGAAGGAAUGCUUAAUCGUUCAAGUAUUAGAUUUCCUUUAUCCCCAACCAACAGGGACAUUGGUAAAAGUAUUGGAAGAAUCUGCUCGUCAAAUAUUCUUCGAUAAAGUCAACCUGAACCACGCAAACAAGUCGGUGGGACAUUUUACCUGUACAAUGGCCACUUUGCAGCACAGCACUUGCUCCACAUUCCACUCAUACGAGAGAGGAACGUAAUUUAUUCACCAGUGAUUAAUUUCCUUAUGGUCUGAUUCAUGUAGUUUUUACGACUUUAAAUAUCAAUUUACUUUAUUUGUCACCAAUAGCUAUGUAGAAAAGAUAUUACAGUUGUCAAUCUGACCACCCCAAGGAUUCAUUGUAAAUUUGCUGUCUUCAAAAAUGCCUGGAUCUUAUCCAUUUCUGACAAAGAUCACAGAGCUGAUGUGAGAUCCUGUCUCUGCUGCUGUGCUGCUUAUAUUAGACCCUUGCUUCUGGCAAUCAUGCCAAUCAUUUCAAACCACACAGCUUGUUCUUAGAAUUCACCUGGCAUACCAUAUAUUGAAAGUGUACUGAAACCUGAUCUCUCCAACAUCUUGAUUUAAAACUAGGUGUCAUCCAGAGUUUCUGAUUUGGAAGCCAGAAGUUUCUGACAAUAUAUAGGUCUAAAUCUUUGAUUUAUGCCCUUUGAUUUUUUUCCCUACUGUAAGUUGGUAUUCAACCUGACACAGAGACUGCAGAUUUACAAUAAACUUACUCUGGGGCAUAAAAUGUAAAUUUUCCCUACUAGUUUAUCACACAUUAGACCAGAGUAUUGUACACAAACUAAAGAAAAAGAGCAUCAAUGAAUUGCAUAUGGAAAUAAAUAAGAGGUAAAUUAUGCACCAAAAUAGACCAAUAAAAUGUUAUGAUGAUCAAUGCUGGAUGCAAAAUUGCAAAGUCAAACACUUGAAAAAGAUCUAGGCCCGAAGUGUCAGCUUUCCUGCUCCUUUGAUGCUGCUUGGCCUGC
This is a long non-coding RNA of Stegostoma tigrinum, 1376 nucleotides long. RefSeq lists it as uncharacterized. Lineage: Eukaryota; Metazoa; Chordata; Chondrichthyes; Orectolobiformes; Stegostomatidae. The transcript has 5 exons. The record is from RefSeq and is a predicted model, not a curated record.